This 468-nucleotide ribosomal RNA is filed under the name uncultured bacterium. RNAcentral's name for it is "partial 16S ribosomal RNA". It matches the Rfam family "Bacterial small subunit ribosomal RNA", at positions 28 to 507 of the family's 1533-position model. The record is from RNAcentral.
GACGAACGCUGGCGGCGUGCUUAACACAUGCAAGUCGAACGGAAAGGCCCUGCUUUUGUGGUGUGCUCGAGUGGCGAACGGGUGAGUAACACGUGAGUAACCUGCCCUUGACUUUGGGAUAACUUCAGGAAACUGGGGCUAAUACCGGAUAGGACCUCCUGCUGCAUGGUGUGGGUUGGAAAGUUUCGGCGGUUGGGGAUGGACUCGCGGCUUAUCAGCUUGUUGGUUGGGUAGUGGCUUACAAAGGCUUGGACGGGUAGCCGGCCUGAGGGGGUGACCGGCAACAUUGGGACUGAGAUACGGCCCAGACUCCUACGGGAGGCAGCAGUGGGGAAUAUUGCACAAUGGGCGGAAGCCUGAUGCAGCAACGCCGCGUGCGGGAUGACGGCCUUCGGGUUGUAAACCGCUUUCGCAUGUGACGAAGCGUGAGUGACGGUAAUGGGUAAAGAAGCACCGGCUAACUACGUG